Molecule: small RNA, 49 nt
Filed under: Arabidopsis thaliana (thale cress)
Lineage: Eukaryota; Viridiplantae; Streptophyta; Magnoliopsida; Brassicales; Brassicaceae
Description: ATSL246860
Source: RNAcentral
UGUUUUUUGUUUGUUUUUUUGGGAAAUACUAGAUACCUUUCAGCUGGCG